CACGUAGGCACCAAGCGUUAUCCGGAUUUAUUGGGCGUAAAGAGCUCGUAGGCGGUUCGGUAAGUCGGGUGUGAAAACUCUGGGCUCAACCCAGAGAGGCCACCCGAUACUGCUGUGACUAGAGUGCGGUAGGGGAGCGGGGAAUUCCUGGUGUAGCGGUGAAAUGCGCAGAUAUCAGGAGGAACACCGAUGGCGAAGGCAGGUCUCUGGGCCACUACUGACGCUGAGAAGCGAAAGCAUGGGGAGCGAACAGG
This 254-nucleotide ribosomal RNA is filed under the name uncultured bacterium. Its description in RNAcentral is "partial 16S ribosomal RNA". It matches the Rfam family "Bacterial small subunit ribosomal RNA", at positions 524 to 776 of the family's 1533-position model. The record is from RNAcentral.